RNAcentral lists this unclassified non-coding RNA (191 nucleotides) under uncultured Helvella. RNAcentral's name for it is "sequence contains ITS2". The record is from RNAcentral. Lineage: Eukaryota; Fungi; Ascomycota; Pezizomycetes; Pezizales; Helvellaceae.
UGGACCAAAGGUCGCGCCGGUGAAGGGCGCGGUGGUGGCGCAGGCGGCGAGCCCCAAGCGGCGGCCGCGGCGCUGGAAUCCACGGGCGGACGCCUGCCGCGUGGCCGAGCGUGAUGUGACACUUUGUCGCUCGCACGCGGCGAGGCUGCCAGCCCUCGCCCCUCCGUCGGGCGGGGUAGUCAAACGCAAUG